RNAcentral lists this ribosomal RNA (284 nucleotides) under Parabacteroides merdae. Its description in RNAcentral is "partial 16S ribosomal RNA". It matches the Rfam family "Bacterial small subunit ribosomal RNA", at positions 493 to 776 of the family's 1533-position model. The record is from RNAcentral. Lineage: Bacteria; Pseudomonadati; Bacteroidota; Bacteroidia; Bacteroidales; Tannerellaceae.
UCUUUUCCUUUUUUUCCCGCAGCCGCGGUAAUACGGAGGAUGCGAGCGUUAUCCGGAUUUAUUGGGUUUAAAGGGUGCGUAGGUGGUGAUUUAAGUCAGCGGUGAAAGUUUGUGGCUCAACCAUAAAAUUGCCGUUGAAACUGGGUUACUUGAGUGUGUUUGAGGUAGGCGGAAUGCGUGGUGUAGCGGUGAAAUGCAUAGAUAUCACGCAGAACUCCGAUUGCGAAGGCAGCUUACUAAACCAUAACUGACACUGAAGCACGAAAGCGUGGGGAUCAAACAGG